This 494-nucleotide ribosomal RNA is filed under the name uncultured bacterium. RNAcentral describes it as "partial 16S ribosomal RNA". It matches the Rfam family "Bacterial small subunit ribosomal RNA", at positions 28 to 507 of the family's 1533-position model. The record is from RNAcentral.
GACGAACGCUGGCGGCGUGCUUAACACAUGCAAGUCGAACGGUGAAGCGCCUUCCCUUUUGGUGGGUGUGGAUGAGUGGCGAACGGGUGAGUAACACGUGAGUAACCUGCCCCCUUCUUCUGGAUAACCGCAUGAAAGUGUGGCUAAUACGGGAUAUUCUGGGUCUGUCGCAUGAUGGGUCUGGGAAAGAUAUUGUUUCGGUGGGGGAUGGGCUCGCGGCCUAUCAGCUUGUUGGUGGGGUGAUGGCCUACCAAGGCGGUGACGGGUAGCCGGCCUGAGAGGGUGGACGGUCACACUGGGACUGAGACACGGCCCAGACUCCUACGGGAGGCAGCAGGGGGGAAUAUUGCACAAUGGGCGCAAGCCUGAUGCAGCGACGCCGCGUGAGGGAUGGAGGCCUUCGGGUUGUGAACCUCUUUCGCCAGUGAAGCAGGCCUGCCUCGUUUGUGGGUGGGUUGACGGUAGCUGGAUAAGAAGCGCCGGCUAACUACGUG